AUAGGGGAGCCGGAGGGAAACCGAGUCUUAAUUGGGCGUUAAGUUGCAGGGUAUAGACCCGAAACCCGGUGAUCUAGCCAUGGGCAGGUUGAAGGUUGGGUAACACUAACUGGAGGACCGAACCGACUAAUGUUGAAAAAUUAGCGGAUGACCUGUGGCUGGGGGUGAAAGGCCAAUCAAACCGGGAGAUAGCUGGUUCUCCCCGAAAGCUAUUUAGGUAGCGCCUCGUGAAUUCAUCUCCGGGGGUAGAGCACUGUUUCGGCUAGGGGGCCAUCCCGGCUUACCAACCCGAUGCAAACUGCGAAUACCGGAGAAUGUUAUCACGGGAGACACACGGCGGGUGCUAACGUCCGUCGUGAAGAGGGAAACAACCCAGACCGCCAGCUAAGGUCCCAAAGUCAUGGUUAAGUGGGAAACGAUGUGGGAAGGCCCAGACAGCCAGGAUGUUGGCUUAGAAGCAGCCAUCAUUUAAAGAAAGCGUAAUAGCUCACUGGUCGAGUCGGCCUGCGCGGAAGAUGUAACGGGGCUAAACC
RNAcentral lists this ribosomal RNA (533 nucleotides) under Salmonella enterica subsp. enterica. Its description in RNAcentral is "partial 23S ribosomal RNA". It matches the Rfam family "Bacterial large subunit ribosomal RNA", at positions 657 to 1188 of the family's 2925-position model. Lineage: Bacteria; Pseudomonadati; Pseudomonadota; Gammaproteobacteria; Enterobacterales; Enterobacteriaceae. The record is from RNAcentral.